CAGCAGCCGCGGGAAUACAGAGGGUGCGAGCGUUAAUCGGAUUUACUGGGCGUAAAGCGUGCGUAGGCGGCUUCUUAAGUCGGAUGUGAAAUCCCUGAGCUUAACUUAGGAAUUGCAUUCGAUACUGGGAAGCUAGAGUAUGGGAGAGGAUGGUAGAAUUCCAGGUGUAGCGGUGAAAUGCGUAGAGAUCUGGAGGAAUACCGAUGGCGAAGGCAGCCAUCUGGCCUAAUACUGACGCUGAGGUACGAAAGCAUGGGGAGCAAACAGGAUUAGAGACCCCUGUAGUCCCUGUCUUUUAUAC
RNAcentral lists this ribosomal RNA (301 nucleotides) under uncultured bacterium. Its description in RNAcentral is "partial 16S ribosomal RNA". It matches the Rfam family "Bacterial small subunit ribosomal RNA", at positions 509 to 809 of the family's 1533-position model. The record is from RNAcentral.